This 2905-nucleotide ribosomal RNA is filed under the name Escherichia albertii. RNAcentral describes it as "23S ribosomal RNA". It matches the Rfam family "Bacterial large subunit ribosomal RNA". Lineage: Bacteria; Pseudomonadati; Pseudomonadota; Gammaproteobacteria; Enterobacterales; Enterobacteriaceae. The record is from RNAcentral.
GGUUAAGCGACUAAGCGUACACGGUGGAUGCCCUGGCAGUCAGAGGCGAUGAAGGACGUGCUAAUCUGCGAAAAGCGUCGGUAAGGUGAUAUGAACCGUUAUAACCGGCGAUGUCCGAAUGGGGAAACCCAGUGUGUUUCGACACACUAUCAUUAACUGAAUCCAUAGGUUAAUGAGGCGAACCGGGGGAACUGAAACAUCUAAGUACCCCGAGGAAAAGAAAUCAACCGAGAUUCCCCCAGUAGCGGCGAGCGAACGGGGAGGAGCCCAGAGCCUGAAUCAGUGUGUGUGUUAGUGGAAGCGUCUGGAAAGGCGCGCGAUACAGGGUGACAGCCCCGUACACAAAAAUGCACAUGCUGUGAGCUCGAUGAGUAGGGCGGGACACGUGGUAUCCUGUCUGAAUAUGGGGGGACCAUCCUCCAAGGCUAAAUACUCCUGACUGACCGAUAGUGAACCAGUACCGUGAGGGAAAGGCGAAAAGAACCCCGGCGAGGGGAGUGAAAAAGAACCUGAAACCGUGUACGUACAAGCAGUGGGAGCCCUGAUUUAUCAGGGUGACUGCGUACCUUUUGUAUAAUGGGUCAGCGACUUAUAUUCUGUAGCAAGGUUAACCGAAUAGGGGAGCCGGAGGGAAACCGAGUCUUAACUGGGCGUUAAGUUGCAGGGUAUAGACCCGAAACCCGGUGAUCUAGCCAUGGGCAGGUUGAAGGUUGGGUAACACUAACUGGAGGACCGAACCGACUAAUGUUGAAAAAUUAGCGGAUGACUUGUGGCUGGGGGUGAAAGGCCAAUCAAACCGGGAGAUAGCUGGUUCUCCCCGAAAGCUAUUUAGGUAGCGCCUCGUGAAUUCAUCUCCGGGGGUAGAGCACUGUUUCGGCAAGGGGGUCAUCCCGACUUACCAACCCGAUGCAAACUGCGAAUACCGGAGAAUGUUAUCACGGGAGACACACGGCGGGUGCUAACGUCCGUCGUGAAGAGGGAAACAACCCAGACCGCCAGCUAAGGUCCCAAAGUCAUGGUUAAGUGGGAAACGAUGUGGGAAGGCCCAGACAGCCAGGAUGUUGGCUUAGAAGCAGCCAUCAUUUAAAGAAAGCGUAAUAGCUCACUGGUCGAGUCGGCCUGCGCGGAAGAUGUAACGGGGCUAAACCAUGCACCGAAGCUGCGGCAGCGACACUGUGUGUUGUUGGGUAGGGGAGCGUUCUGUAAGCCUGCGAAGGUGUGCUGUGAGGUAUGCUGGAGGUAUCAGAAGUGCGAAUGCUGACAUAAGUAACGAUAAAGCGGGUGAAAAGCCCGCUCGCCGGAAGACCAAGGGUUCCUGUCCAACGUUAAUCGGGGCAGGGUGAGUCGACCCCUAAGGCGAGGCCGAAAGGCGUAGUCGAUGGGAAACAGGUUAAUAUUCCUGUACUUGGUGUUACUGCGAAGGGGGGACGGAGAAGGCUAUGUUGGCCGGGCGACGGUUGUCCCGGUUUAAGCGUGUAGGCUGGUUUUCCAGGCAAAUCCGGAAAAUCAAGGCUGAGGCGUGAUGACGAGGCACUACGGUGCUGAAGCGACAAAUGCCCUGCUUCCAGGAAAAGCCUCUAAGCAUCAGGUAACAUCAAAUCGUACCCCAAACCGACACAGGUGGUCAGGUAGAGAAUACCAAGGCGCUUGAGAGAACUCGGGUGAAGGAACUAGGCAAAAUGGUGCCGUAACUUCGGGAGAAGGCACGCUGAUAUGUAGGUGAAGCGACUUGCUCGUGGAGCUGAAAUCAGUCGAAGAUACCAGCUGGCUGCAACUGUUUAUUAAAAACACAGCACUGUGCAAACACGAAAGUGGACGUAUACGGUGUGACGCCUGCCCGGUGCCGGAAGGUUAAUUGAUGGGGUCAGCGCAAGCGAAGCUCUUGAUCGAAGCCCCGGUAAACGGCGGCCGUAACUAUAACGGUCCUAAGGUAGCGAAAUUCCUUGUCGGGUAAGUUCCGACCUGCACGAAUGGCGUAAUGAUGGCCAGGCUGUCUCCACCCGAGACUCAGUGAAAUUGAACUCGCUGUGAAGAUGCAGUGUACCCGCGGCAAGACGGAAAGACCCCGUGAACCUUUACUAUAGCUUGACACUGAACACUGGUCCUUGAUGUGUAGGAUAGGUGGGAGGCUUUGAAGUGUGGACGCCAGUCUGCAUGGAGCCGUCCUUGAAAUACCACCCUUUAAUGGCUGGUGUUCUAACGUGGGCCCGUAAUCCGGGUUGCGGACAGUGUCUGGUGGGUAGUUUGACUGGGGCGGUCUCCUCCUAAAGAGUAACGGAGGAGUACGAAGGUUGGCUAAUCCUGGUCGGACAUCAGGAGGUUAGUGCAAUGGCAUAAGCCAGCUUGACUGCGAGCGUGACGGCGCGAGCAGGUGCGAAAGCAGGUCAUAGUGAUCCGGUGGUUCUGAAUGGAAGGGCCAUCGCUCAACGGAUAAAAGGUACUCCGGGGAUAACAGGCUGAUACCGCCCAAGAGUUCAUAUCGACGGCGGUGUUUGGCACCUCGAUGUCGGCUCAUCACAUCCUGGGGCUGAAGUAGGUCCCAAGGGUAUGGCUGUUCGCCAUUUAAAGUGGUACGCGAGCUGGGUUUAGAACGUCGUGAGACAGUUCGGUCCCUAUCUGCCGUGGGCGCUGGAGAACUGAGGGGGGCUGCUCCUAGUACGAGAGGACCGGAGUGGACGCAUCACUGGUGUUCGGGUUGUCAUGCCAAUGGCACUGCCCGGUAGCUAAAUGCGGAAGAGAUAAGUGCUGAAAGCAUCUAAGCACGAAACUUGCCCCGAGAUGAGUUCUCCCUGAGACUUAGAGUCUCCUGAAGGAACGUUGAAGACGACGACGUUGAUAGGCCGGGUGUGUAAGCGCAGCGAUGCGUUGAGCUAACCGGUACUAAUGAACCGUGAGGCUUAACCUU